GUUGUAGACCACGACCUCGAUAGGCCGAAAGUGGAAGCGGAGCGAUCCGUUGAGCCGAUCGGCACUAAUAUGACGUGCGGCUUAGCUUA
RNAcentral lists this ribosomal RNA (89 nucleotides) under Kiritimatiellia bacterium. Its description in RNAcentral is "Kiritimatiellae bacterium (gut metagenome) partial 23S ribosomal RNA". It matches the Rfam family "Bacterial large subunit ribosomal RNA", at positions 2837 to 2925 of the family's 2925-position model. Lineage: Bacteria; Pseudomonadati; Kiritimatiellota; Kiritimatiellia. The record is from RNAcentral.